UACCACCAACAUUCAGGUGUUGCAAGGAAUUGGCUCUUGUUAUCUGUUCAGAAAAUCAAUUGAGAACCAGCGAAAGGAAAAAAAGAAAAUCAAGUCCAUUGAGAAAAUGCAAAAAUACAUUCAAGUUGAAGAAAUUCAUUGAUUGAUGUGGCAAAAAUGGCAUCACAUACCAAUUGAACAACACCUUUGUCAGUGAUCCCUGUGAUACCCCAAAGGGAAAUAGAUGUCAAGUUGCUAACACACUUUGCCAAUGAGAUUUGAUACAGUCCAUUAUCAGUUAUUUGGCAACCCCAACGAUUCCUUGAACUGUGAUCAUAAUAAGAAUUAGAAUAUGAAAAUGAAGAUCAGGCCUAUCAACAUCAAGAUUGAGAUUUCUGAUUAAAAAAUUUUCUCAUUCAGCUGCACAUGGAAGAUUAGCUAUC
RNAcentral lists this long non-coding RNA (422 nucleotides) under Durio zibethinus. RNAcentral's name for it is "long non-coding RNA (DZIB_LNC002203)". Lineage: Eukaryota; Viridiplantae; Streptophyta; Magnoliopsida; Malvales; Malvaceae. The record is from RNAcentral.